GCGACCCCCAGGUUCAGGCGG
Molecule: ribosomal RNA, 21 nt
Filed under: Capsicum annuum
Lineage: Eukaryota; Viridiplantae; Streptophyta; Magnoliopsida; Solanales; Solanaceae
Description: partial 28S ribosomal RNA
Source: RNAcentral